GGGGCAACGGCGCAUCAGGAAGCGUCACCGCUUGGGCCAACAGGCCAACGAACACAGCGGGACGGAGGUUCGAAUCCUCCUUGCCUCACCA
RNAcentral lists this transfer RNA (91 nucleotides) under Oscillospiraceae bacterium. RNAcentral's name for it is "tRNA-OTHER". It matches the Rfam family "tRNA". Rfam says of the family: Transfer RNA (tRNA) molecules are approximately 80 nucleotides in length. Their secondary structure includes four short double-helical elements and three loops (D, anti-codon, and T loops). The record is from RNAcentral. Lineage: Bacteria; Bacillati; Bacillota; Clostridia; Eubacteriales; Oscillospiraceae.